GUCGAGAAUAAUUCACAAUGGGGGAAACCCUGAUGGUGCAACGCCGCGUGGAGGAUGAAGGUCUUCGGAUUGUAAACUCCUGUCAUCUGGGAGUAAGACCUGACGGUGAAUAGCCGGCAGGGUUGAUAGUACCAGAAGAGGAAGGGACGGCUAACUUCGUGCCAGCAGCCGCGGUAAUACGAAGGUCCCAAGCGUUGUUCGGAAUCACUGGGCGUAAAGGGAGCGUAGGCGGCGUGGUAAGUCAGAUGUGAAAUCCCGGGGCUCAACCCCGGAACUGCAGCCGAUACUGCCAUGCUUGAGGGUUGGAGAGGUAGCUGGAAUUCUCGGUGUAGCAGUGAAAUGCGUGGAUAUCGAGAGGAACACUCGUGGCGAAGGCGAGCUACUGGACAACAUCUGACGCUGAGGCUCGAAGGCCAGGGGAGCAAAAGGGAUUAGAAACCCUUGUAGUCC
Molecule: ribosomal RNA, 450 nt
Filed under: uncultured bacterium
Lineage: Bacteria
Description: partial 16S ribosomal RNA
Rfam family: Bacterial small subunit ribosomal RNA
Source: RNAcentral